GGGCCUACGGGGGGCAGCAGUCGGGAAUAUUGCGCAAUGGAGGAAACUCUGACGCAGUGACGCCGCGUGCAGGAAGAAGGUUUUCGGAUUGUAAACUGCUUUAGACAGGGAAGAAAAAAGACAGUACCUGUAGAAUAAGCUCCGGCUAACUACGUGCCAGCAGCCGCGGUGAUACGUAGGGAGCAAGCGUUAUCCGGAUUUACUGGGUGUAAAGGGAGCGUAGACGGCAUAGCAAGUCUGAAGUGAAAGCCCGUGGCUCAACCGCGGAACUGCUUUGGAAACUGUUAAGCUGGAGUACUGGAGAG
Molecule: ribosomal RNA, 305 nt
Filed under: uncultured bacterium
Lineage: Bacteria
Description: bacterial SSU rRNA
Rfam family: Bacterial small subunit ribosomal RNA
Source: RNAcentral